Molecule: ribosomal RNA, 778 nt
Filed under: uncultured Neocallimastigales
Lineage: Eukaryota; Fungi; Neocallimastigomycota; Neocallimastigomycetes; Neocallimastigales
Description: partial large subunit ribosomal RNA
Rfam family: Eukaryotic large subunit ribosomal RNA
Source: RNAcentral
CUAUACAUGACUCUGCGCAUAUCAAUAAGCGGAGGAAAAGAAACUAACAAGGAUUCCCUUAGUAACGGCGAGUGAAGCGGGAAGAGCUCAAAUUUGAAAUCUUCAAGGUUUACCUUGACGAAUUGUAGUUUAUAGAAGUGUUUUCUGUAGUGGAGUUUGGUAAAAGUUCUUUGGAAUAGGACAUCAUAGAGGGUGAGAAUCCCGUAUUUGGAUCCAUUACUUUCCUAGCUUUGUGAUACACUUUCAAAGAGUCGGAUUGUUUGGGAAUGCAGUCCAAAAUGGGUGGUAAAUUUCAUCUAAAGCUAAAUAUUGGCGAGAGACCGAUAGCGAACAAGUACCGUGAGGGAAAGAUGAAAAGAACUUUGAAAAGAGAGUUAAACAGUACGUGAAAUUGUCAAAAGGGAAGCGUUUGACACCAGUGUUGUUUUUCCGAAAAUCAAUUACGAAUGUUUUAUUUUUGAGAAGUUAUGACUUCAUCGGCUUGCUUCUCUCUUUACGAAACUUUCUUAAUGCACUUUUCGGUUAACAAGUCAACAUCAAUUUCUUUUGUUGUAAAAGGGUAUGAGGAAGGUGGCUUUCUUUUCGGAGAAAGUGUUUAUAGCCUUGUACCUCUGCAAUCGGAGAGGAUUGAGGUCUGCAGCGUAGAUCCUUCGGGGUUAGAUACAUUUGUGCUAAGUUAUAGCUUUUCAUAGACAACUUGUUGACUAUGUUAGUCUUGUAGCUUACUCGCUGAUGCUAUUUUACCUACGCUUAGGAUGUUGACGAGACUGUCGAUCUC